GCAUUAGCAUAGUGGUUAGUGACCCUGACUACUGAGCCAAAGGUCCCGGGUUCGAUUCCCGGCUGGGGCA
This 70-nucleotide transfer RNA is filed under the name Plutella xylostella (diamondback moth). RNAcentral's name for it is "tRNA-Ser". The record is from RNAcentral. Lineage: Eukaryota; Metazoa; Arthropoda; Insecta; Lepidoptera; Plutellidae.